This is a long non-coding RNA of Colossoma macropomum (tambaqui), 1067 nucleotides long. RefSeq lists it as uncharacterized. The transcript is spliced from 4 exons. The record is from RefSeq and is a predicted model, not a curated record. Lineage: Eukaryota; Metazoa; Chordata; Actinopteri; Characiformes; Serrasalmidae.
GCUCGCCUCUGAUUGGCAGAAUGCAAUGCCUCAGACUACACGGCGGCCAACUCCCCCCGCCAUAUAGGGGUGUGUCCUGACGUCAGCGCCUGACCAGCGAAGAGGUGCAGUACAAGCCUCCAGGACCGUUUCAGUCAUGGGUUGGAAUAUCAGGAGGACAAGCGGACUGAACUGGGUUGAACAAUGUGACUCCCCAGUGGAAUAACAUCCUGCGUCCGGGUAGUGAAAGAGGCUCCAAUCUCUGGCGGUCUCUCUGUCUUCAGACUCAGGAUCUUCCCGCUCCCCUUCCAGCUGGAAAAACAAACACAGUCUGUGGGAGUGAAGGGACCCAGUGCUGUAAAAAAAAACUGCAGCGCCACUCUCGCCGGCUUUCAAGCGAAUAAAAAAAAGGAAAAGGGCCUGUGUAAAUGUCAUUAGUUAUCUUUAUCACCAAAUGUGUUUGGCGACUUGAAAGCGACGGAGGAGGAUCGGCACAGGCAGCUUCUCCACAGCUCCACUGGAUAACGAGACUGUGAGUGAAUAAAAGCAGAAAUAAGCAGGCAGUAACAUAGCAAGUGGUUUUGCGUUUUAUUGGGGAGGAAACCUCUGUGUACGAGAUUUGUGAAAACACACACUCCUUUUUCCUCCCACCCGCUGCUUCUUGACCUUGACCCCUGACAGAAACAACAAGGGGAGGGGGGUGGAUUUGCCCCUGGUAACUGGUCUUAACUUACAGUACAGUAGUUUGAGUAUUUAUUUCUUUUUUUCUUGCUAUAUGUGGGCAUCUAUGGCCUGCUAGAAGAAAGUCAAAGAGGACAAUUAUAAUUUCCAGGAGCUUGUUUUUCAGUGAAAAACUCAUUAUAUAAAAUAUGCUCACAAUUCACCAUAUUAGAAUUAUUAGAAAUGCCUACACUGUACUUCCACUCACUGGCCAACACAAUCCACCUACCUUAUAGAUCCACUGUACUAUUACAGACUAUAGCCCACCUUCACAACUUAUCAGCCACCCUCUACCCCAGUCGUCAUUGGUCAGGUGAUGACCACAUGACUGCUGUUGACCAUGUUAUCUGGGUGGUGGAUGAUUCUCA